UACAGAGGGGGCAAGCGUUGUUCGGAAUUACUGGGCGUAAAGGGCGCGUAGGCGGCCCGCUAAGUCGAACGUGAAAUCCCCGGGCUCAACCCGGGAACUGCGUCCGAUACUGGCAGGCUUGAAUCCGGGAGAGGGAUGCGGAAUUCCAGGUGUAGCGGUGAAAUGCGUAGAUAUCUGGAGGAACACCGGUGGCGAAGGCGGCAUCCUGGACCGGUAUUGACGCUGAGGCGCGAAAGCUAGGGGAGCAAACGGG
This 253-nucleotide ribosomal RNA is filed under the name uncultured bacterium. RNAcentral's name for it is "partial 16S ribosomal RNA". It matches the Rfam family "Bacterial small subunit ribosomal RNA", at positions 524 to 776 of the family's 1533-position model. The record is from RNAcentral.